AUUGGUAAUGGGCGCAGCCUGAACCAGCCAUCCCGCGUGAAGGAAGAAUGCGCUAUGCGUUCUAAACUUCUUUUCCAGGGGAAGAAAACCUCUGAUGUAUCGGAGCUUGCCGGUACCCUGGGAAUAAGCAUCGGCUAACUCCGUGCCAGCAGCCGCGGUAAUACGGAGGAUGCGAGCGUUAUCCGGAUUUAUUGGGUUUAAAGGGUGCGUAGGCGGAAGGAUAAGUCAGUGGUGAAACCCUGCAGCUUAACUGUAGACUUGCCAUUGAUACUGUUUUUCUUGAGUUUGGUCAAGGCAGGCGGAAUGUGUAAUGUAGCGGUGAAAUGCUUAGAUAUUACACAGAACACCGAUUGCGAAGGCAGCUUGCUGGGCCGGUACUGACGCUGAUGCACGAAAGCGUGGGGAUCGAACAGGAUUAGAUACCCUGGUAGUCCACGCUGUAAACGAUGAUUACUCGAUGUUGGCGAUACACAGUCAGCGUCUGAGCGAAAGCAAUAAGUAAUCCACCUGGGGAGUACGAUCGCAAGAUUGAAACUCAAAGAAAUUGACGGA
This 552-nucleotide ribosomal RNA is filed under the name uncultured bacterium. Its description in RNAcentral is "bacterial SSU rRNA". It matches the Rfam family "Bacterial small subunit ribosomal RNA", at positions 363 to 917 of the family's 1533-position model. The record is from RNAcentral.